AGCGAACGCUGGCGGCAGGCUUAACACAUGCAAGUCGAGCGGGCAUCCUUGUGGUGUCAGCGGCAGACGGGUGAGUAACGCGUGGGAACGUGCCCUUCGGUUCGGAAUAACUCAGGGAAACUUGAGCUAAUACCGGAUACGUGCGAGAGCAGAAAGGUUUAUCUGCCGAAGGAUCGGCCCGCGUCUGAUUAGCUAGUUGGUGAGGUUAUGGCUCACCAAGGCGACGAUCAGUAGCUGGUCUGAGAGGAUGAUCAGCCACACUGGGACUGAGACACGGCCCAGACCCCUACGGGAGGCAGCAGGGGGGAAUAUUGGACAAUGGGGGCAACCCUGAUCCAGCCAUGCCGGGUGAGUGAUGACGGCUUUAGGGUUGUAAAGCUCUUUUCUUCGGGACGAUAAUGGCGGUACCGGAGGAAUAAGCCCCGGCUAACUUGGU
RNAcentral lists this ribosomal RNA (436 nucleotides) under uncultured bacterium. RNAcentral's name for it is "partial 16S ribosomal RNA". It matches the Rfam family "Bacterial small subunit ribosomal RNA", at positions 29 to 506 of the family's 1533-position model. The record is from RNAcentral.